RNAcentral lists this small RNA (125 nucleotides) under Marmota monax (woodchuck). The record is from RNAcentral. Lineage: Eukaryota; Metazoa; Chordata; Mammalia; Rodentia; Sciuridae.
GCCAGGCACAGUGGUGCAUGCCUGUAAUCCCAGUGGCUCCGGAGGCUGAAACAGGAGGAUUGUGAGUUCAAAGCCAGCCUCAGCAAAGGCAAGCCACUAAGCCACUCGGUGAGACCCUGUCUCUA